Molecule: ribosomal RNA, 331 nt
Filed under: uncultured eukaryote
Lineage: Eukaryota
Description: partial 18S ribosomal RNA
Rfam family: Eukaryotic small subunit ribosomal RNA
Source: RNAcentral
CCCUUAGAUGUUCUGGGCCGCACGCGCGCUACACUGACGAAGUCAGCGAGCAUGUCCUACGCCGACAGGUGCGGGGAAUCUUGUCAAACUUCGUCGUGAUGGGGAUUGAUUAUUGAAAUUCUUGAUCAUCAACGAGGAAUUCCUAGUAAGCGCAAGUCAGCAGCUUGCGUUGAUUACGUCCCUGCCCUUUGUACACACCGCCCGUCGCUACUACCGAUUGAAUGGUUUAGUGAGAUCUUCGGAUUGGCGCCACUGCGGCUCAGCAAUGGGCUCGGUGGAUGCCGAAAAGUUGAACAAACUUGAUCAUUUAGAGGAAGUAAAAGUCGUAACA